UACAGAGGUGGCAAGCGUUGUUCGGAAUCACUGGGCGUAAAGGGCUCGUAGGCGGCCAACUAAGUCAGACGUGAAAUCCCUCGGCUUAACCGGGGAACUGCAUCUGAUACUGGAUGGCUUGAGUUCGGGAGAGGGAUGCGGAAUUCCAGGUGUAGCGGUGAAAUGCGUAGAUAUCUGGAGGAACACCGGUGGCGAAGGCGGCAUCCUGGACCGGCAUUGACGCUGAGGAGCGAAAGCCAGGGGAGCAAACGGG
This 253-nucleotide ribosomal RNA is filed under the name uncultured bacterium. RNAcentral describes it as "partial 16S ribosomal RNA". It matches the Rfam family "Bacterial small subunit ribosomal RNA", at positions 524 to 776 of the family's 1533-position model. The record is from RNAcentral.